Non-coding RNA from Ciona intestinalis (vase tunicate), 190 nucleotides. The record is from RefSeq and is a predicted model, not a curated record. Lineage: Eukaryota; Metazoa; Chordata; Ascidiacea; Phlebobranchia; Cionidae.
UCACGAAGUGGUGAUGACCCAACAGAAGAACCCACUUCAAUGGUAUGUGACGUCACAGAGGAUCAAGCGGACCAUGGCGUUAUGGCAGAAUGAAGAAAAGUCAGCGAAUAAAGCUGCCGAAGAAAAGCGCAAGGCGAAGAACAAAGACGAAGACGCCGAUAAAGGAUACACGGUUUGAGGUUUGAGUAUU